Molecule: small nuclear RNA, 354 nt
Filed under: Castor canadensis (American beaver)
Lineage: Eukaryota; Metazoa; Chordata; Mammalia; Rodentia; Castoridae
Description: 7SK RNA (ENSCCNG00000003978.1)
Rfam family: 7SK RNA
About the family: 7SK was discovered as an abundant small nuclear RNA in the mid-70s but a possible function has only recently been suggested. Two independent studies have found that 7SK RNA binds the CDK9/cyclin T complex (known as elongation factor P-TEFb).
Source: RNAcentral
GGAUGUGAGGGCGAUCUGGCUGCAGCAUCUGUCAACCCAUUGAUGGCCAGGGUUGAUUCGGCUUAUCUGGCUGGCUAGGCGGGUGUCCCCUUCCUCCCUCACCGCUCCAUGUGUAUCCCUCCUGAAGCUGCGCGCUCAGUGGAAGAGGAUGACCAUCCCCGCUAGAGGAGGACCGUUCUUCGGUCAAGGGUAUAUGAGUAGCUGCGCUCCCCUGCUAGAACCUCCAAACAAGCUCUCAAAUAAUAUAGUUACAAACCUACGUCAUAAUCCUUAGAGAAGCUAGAAUAACUAUUAAAAAUUGACAGAUCCUUUUACAUAGCUGUAUAAUUACUGGAGUACAGCCUCCUAUGUAGA